Molecule: ribosomal RNA, 364 nt
Filed under: uncultured bacterium
Lineage: Bacteria
Description: bacterial SSU rRNA
Rfam family: Bacterial small subunit ribosomal RNA
Source: RNAcentral
GGUAGCCGGCCUGAGAGGGCGACCGGCCACACUGGGACUGAGACACGGCCCAGACUCCUACGGGAGGCAGCAGUGGGGAAUAUUGGGCAAUGGAGGAAACUCUGACCCAGCGACGCCGCGUGCGGGAUGAAGGCCUUCGGGUUGUAAACCGCUUUCAGCAGGGAAGAAGCGAAAGUGACGGUACCUGCAGAAGAAGCACCGGCUAACUAUGUGCCAGCAGCCGCGGUAAUACAUAGGGUGCAAGCGUUGUCCGGAAUUAUUGGGCGUAAAGAGCUCGUAGGUGGUUCGUCACGUCGGAUGUGAAACUCUGGGGCUUAACCCCNGACCUGCAUUCGAUACGGGCGARCUUGAGUAUGGUAGGGGA